UAGGGAAUCUUCGGCAAUGGACGAAAGUCUGACCGAGCAACGCCGCGUGAGUGAAGAAGGUUUUCGGAUCGUAAAAUCUCUGUUGGUAGAGAAGAACGUUGGUGAGAGUGGAAAGCUCAUCAAGUGACGGUAACUACCCAGAAAGGGACGGCUAACUACGUGCCAGCAGCCGCGGUAAUACGUAGGUCCCGAGCGUUGUCCGGAUUUAUUGGGCGUAAAGCGAGCGCAGGUGGUUUAUUAAGUCUGGUGU
Molecule: ribosomal RNA, 250 nt
Filed under: uncultured bacterium
Lineage: Bacteria
Description: partial 16S ribosomal RNA
Rfam family: Bacterial small subunit ribosomal RNA
Source: RNAcentral